Molecule: transfer RNA, 61 nt
Filed under: Oregonia gracilis
Lineage: Eukaryota; Metazoa; Arthropoda; Malacostraca; Decapoda; Oregoniidae
Description: tRNA-Arg
Source: RNAcentral
AAUUAGAAAGCGAAUUAUUGCACUUAGUUUCGACCUAAAUUUUGGCUUAUGCCUCUAAUUA